UAGGGAAUCUUUCACAAUGGGCGAAAGCCUGAUGGAGCAACGCCGCGUGUGUGAUGAAGGGUUUCGGCUCGUAAAACACUGUUGUAAGAGAAGAAUGACAUUGAGAGUAACUGUUCAAUGUGUGACGGUAUCUUACCAGAAAGGAACGGCUAAAUACGUGCCUG
Molecule: ribosomal RNA, 164 nt
Filed under: uncultured bacterium
Lineage: Bacteria
Description: partial 16S rRNA
Rfam family: Bacterial small subunit ribosomal RNA
Source: RNAcentral